RNAcentral lists this ribosomal RNA (253 nucleotides) under uncultured bacterium. Its description in RNAcentral is "partial 16S ribosomal RNA". It matches the Rfam family "Bacterial small subunit ribosomal RNA", at positions 524 to 776 of the family's 1533-position model. The record is from RNAcentral.
UACGGGGGGGGCAAGCGUUGUUCGGAAUUACUGGGCGUAAAGGACUCGUAGGUGGCCAACUAAGUCAGACGUGAAAUCCCUCGGCUUAACCGGGGAACUGCGUCUGAUACUGGAUGGCUUGAGUUCGGGAGAGGGAUGCGGAAUUCCAGGUGUAGCGGUGAAAUGCGUAGAUAUCUGGAGGAACACCGGUGGCGAAGGCGGCAUCCUGGACCGACACUGACGCUGAGGAGCGAAAGCCAGGGGAGCAAACGGG